GCCGCCCCUGGCCCAGAGGACGGGGAAAGCGAGGAGUAGCAAAGCCAGACCGAGAAGCACCAAGCUGUCAGGAACUGCUGCCGGAGCAACCGGGGACGGGAGUGGUGUGUGUAACAUUACACCGGCUGCCCUCCCGCGGGCGGAGCGCCGAGCUCUCCUUCCAGGGCAGCGAGGCCCGCGCCGGGGGUGGACGAAGGGAGCGGAGCUGGCAGCUGCCCGGGGCUCGCUGCCGAUGGGGGAAUGCGGGGUUCCCACCCAGGUCCAGCUGUUUCUCCGCGCCUGCGACCAGGGGGACUACGAGAGCGCUCGGCGCCUGUUGGGACUGCCCGGGGGCGGCGCGGAGGCGGCGGGCGGCUCCGCUUGCGGGGCGGAGGAGGCGGCGGAGUCCGGGGCAGGCGAGGCGGCAGCGCCUCCUCCCUCGGUGCCGGUGGACUGCACGGACGAGGCCGGGAACACGGGGCUGCAGUUCGCCGCCGCCGGAGGCCACGAGCAGCUGGUGCGGUUCCUGCUACGCAAAGGGGCCUCGGUGCAGAGCCGGAACCACUACGGCUGGAGCCCGCUCAUGCAGGCGGCCAGGUUUGGACAUCUAACUGUGGCUCACAUCUUGUUGGAGAAUGGUGCUGAUCUCAAUGCACAGAAUAAGCUGGGAGCCAGUGUACUUACAAUGGCUUCUAGAGGUGGCCAUGUCAGUGUCGUGAAAUUGUUGCUGGAAUCUGGAGCUUUUGUUGAUAAUUAUGACCAUUUUAAUACCAGUUUGGUUGACAACAGCAAAGAGGAACUGCCUGAUAUAACACCACUAAUAGCAGCCGCCCAGCAUGGAUAUGAGGCAGUGGUGCACUUGCUACUGGACUGGGGAGCUGAUUGUAAUUACACUGUGAAGACUGUGGGCUGGAGUCCUCUAAUGCUGGCAGCUGUUAGUGGAAAGCUGAGCUUGGCACAACAACUCAUGGACAAGGGAGCCAAUCCUAAUCACCUAAAUGUGCUGAAUAAAACACCUUUUGAAAUCUCCAUUGGCUUCAAACAUAAAGACAUGAAAGAUUAUUUGGAAUCACUAACAACAAUCAGACCCCUGACAGAUAAUGACAAGAGGCAACCUGAUGUCUUUCAUGCUUUGAAAAUGGGAAAUUUUCAGCUGGUUAAAGAGAUUGUGGAUGAAGACCCAAAUCAGGUUAAUAUUAUUAAUGGUGAUGGUGCUUCUCCACUGAUGAUUGCCGCUGUAACUGGACAGUUGGAUCUUGUACAGCUGCUUGUUGAGAGAAAUGCUGACAUUGACAAACAAGAUAAUGUUCAUGGCUGGACAGCCCUAAUGCAGGCCACAUACCAUGGAAAUAAAGAAGUUGUUAAGUAUUUGUUGAAUCGAGGAGCUGAUGUCAAUCUACGUGCAAAAAAUGGAUACACAGCCUUUGACCUGAUAAUGCUACUGAAUGAUCCAGACACAGAACUUGUACGUCAACUAGCAUCAGCCUGCAUGCAAGUAGACAAAGACAAGGGUAAGCAGAACAACAAAUCGUCUUUGCCCUGUUCUAGAAGUAGGCAAUCUUUAAAUACCCUGAUGUUGCCAGAUGACAAGGGAGGAUUAAAGUCAUGGUGGAACAGGAUGUCCAAUAGAUUCCGUAAGCUGAAGUUGACCCAAACAUUGCGUCAUGGAUUUUCCACCAGUCAGUCUGUGCCUUUUACUGAUGAGCCCGAGUCAUCUCUGAAUUCCACAAUAAAAGCCACUUCACAGUCUGAUGUGAACAACUCUGGAAACUGUGAUGCUGCAACAGCUUGGACCACAAAUAUCAAAACUAGUGGUGUAUGCACAAGAGCAGGAAAGGAUGAUGAAUUAUUGACAACAAUGUUAAGAAGUGGUGCUCCAUUUACUAGGCUACCUAGUGAUAAACUGAAAGCAGUUAUUCCUCCUUUCUUACCUCCUUCAAGUUUUGAGCUGUGGAAUUCUGACCGAACACGAAUGAACAAAGAUGGCAAGACUGAACAGAUGAGGACUGCCUUGCCACAGCGUGGGAUCAAACAUGAUUUUAACAGCAGUGCAAACUCUGACAUAACAUCUGUUACCAAAGGUACUAGACCGGUCAAAUUGCCAACCUUUGCAAGAAGACCUGCUUCUCCCUCAAAUUCAAGCAACUUCAACCACUCGCCACACUCUUCUGGUGGAUCCAACAACAUCGCUGGAAUUAACAGACAUGGUGGAGAACUCCAUAAUAGAUCAGGUGGCAGUGCAGAUAGUGUUUUGUCUCAAAUUGCUGCUCAAAGGAAAAAAGCAGCAGGCUUACCUGAACAGAAACCCAGCCAGCAAUAUAGUUCAAUCCACACAGCUGCUUCAUCCACGCUUCCUGAACUGCAGCAGUACACUCAGAUAGCUGGCAAUGGACAUAUUGCAAAGCAGAAACUGGAGAUGAACAAAAGACCUCCAUCUGGGACCUCAUCUACAUCUAAAAGCACAUCACCAACUCUCACACCAUCCCCAUCUCCAUCCCCAUCCCCUAAGGUUCACAAUGCAGAGUCGUCUCUCUCUUCAUCUCACAGACAAGCCAAGAGCAAUGGUGGCUCCAGCAGUGGAACUAUUACUGAUGAAGGCAACCAGUUGGGGGACCACCAAAAACUUGUCCAUAGUUUGAGAACCUCUGACAUAGAGAAUCAUGAAAGAAGAAACCAUGUGAGAGUAAAAGGAGUUUGUGAAAACUUGGAGAAAGAUGAGCUGACUAGUAUCCUUAAAAAAUUGUCGCUUGAGAAAUAUCAGCCCAUUUUUGAAGAACAGGAGGUGGAUAUGGAAGCCUUCCUCACACUUACUGAUGGUGAUUUGAAAGAGCUGGGAAUUAAAACUGAUGGAUCUAGGCAGCAAAUUCUGGCAGCUAUUUCUGAACUGAAUGCAGGAAAGGGACGAGAGAGGCAGAUUUUACAGGAAACCAUACACAAUUUUCACUCUUCCUUUGAGAGUAGUGUUAGUAAUACCAGACCUCCUGGCAAUUCUCAGUGUAAGUAUUAUUCAUAUGUUGUCGGAUCAACUUCAAGCAAUUUUUCUUAAACCAGGGUAAAGUACAGUAUAUGCAAACAUGCUAUGUGUUGGUUUAAAGAUUCCUGCAUUUCUCUCUCUUUCAGACUGUAGUGAAGAUUUCAAAGUAAAAAGGCAGAGAGUUUAUAAGAUUUGUAUAUAGGGAUAGUAUUUAUGGGUUUCAAACAGAUUAGUGUGUAUUUGGUUAAUUCAAAAAGUUUUUAAAUUAACAAUGUAUUGCAUUUUACAUUGAAAGCCACGGGGGCGUGUUUUUCAUAUGAGGUAGGUCUCAAUCGCAUAAUGAGAUAGCUAAGGUUGCUCCUUGUCUAUCCCUAGAAGCAGACCAAUUUCUCACCUCUUGUGGUCAUCAAAUAGGCUACUUAGUGGAGUAGUGGGUACUGUACAUGUUGCGCUGCAUUUUUGCAGUACACGAACAUCAGUGCUGAGCCCUGCCUGUUACAUUCUGGGUAGAAAAAAGAGGGGAUCAUUUGGACGUUGCUAGUGAGUGUCUCAAGACCCACCUGGAGAAACUCUGCUUUCCGUAAAUUCAGAAGCUCAAGGGAGAACCAGAAGAUGGGUUCUGGUGGCAUUGGCAUUUGAAGAAGUUCCUUCAUGCACUGGACUGUUUGCGAUUUGGCUGGAGGGCUGAGCUACUGAAGACCCACCUGAUGAGGCCAAGAGCUGACAGUCACAUCUUUGGUUUGCAGACAUAAAGAGCAGCAUCGUGCUGACAUUUCAAACAGCAACGUCCAAGCAACUGCAAGACAGAUAAUUUUAGACAAUUGUAAACACAAUUUUGGACAUCUAUUGAGGUGCAACAACCACAAGCAGCCUAGCAUACCAUUCUGUUUAUUUUCCCUAGGCUGUAGCACAGUCUUAAACGGCAAUAUCAGAGAAAUGCCUAUACUCCAAUCUUUCUAGACUAAUCUGUUUUAUUUAGAUUCUUAGACCACGCCUAUCAACAGGAAGUCUGAGCACCUUCCAGAAGUGCAUUUAGUAUCAUGAGUAGCAUCUGUCAUGUGUGGUGUUCUCCUUAUUCUGUAAAUGGGGAAAAACUAUAGAAAAACUUUUUUAUUAAAUUAUAUGACAAUUAGCUUAUCCCUGGGACCCUACAGUGGCUAAUAAAGUCCCUCCAAUCCAUGAACAGCUGUGGGGUAACCAUAUGGGAAAAUAAUACUGCAGCAUUUGUGUGAGGAUUAUCACUAACUCUUUGGAAUAAUUCCUUUUUUCCUCUGGAGGGAAAUUUGAGGAAGGUGAUAUUUCCCAGAGAAAUGGCUGCCUGUAACAAUUCAGCUGCCUAAAUUUUAAAUAAUUACUAAAUUUGCUCUGAUCAUCGCAUGUCCCCAAACCUCUUCUUGCCCCAUUAGUAGCUUCCCCUAUCACUCUUUCUAGGGACAAGUCCUGAACAUGAGCCUGUAAGAAGGAGGCUGACCUUACCAUUGCACUCUAGGGACCAGGUGCUUACACUAAAGCUUGGUAUUCAAAAUGUAUUGACAUUGUUAUCUUUCUCAAAAUAGUUUGCAUUCCCAGUGUGAUGGAGUGCUAUAACUACCAACUUCCUUAUUUUUAAUUCAGCCACUGGAGUGGAUGAUCCAGGUCUUCAGGGAAGGUGUGCAGACUGCCCGCCCAGGUCCACACUCCCAGAAUAAUCAAAAACAAGCACAAAAGCAAGGAGGAUCUGUGUGUGGAAUUAGAGAGAGUAUACAGGUUUAAGGAAAUGUAGUACAAGGAAAACAGGCAGGAAAAGUACUAGUAGAAUAGUAAGAAAUAAAUGGGUGAUUACAUGUCUAACUAAAUGCAACGUGAGACAAACUUAUGGAAGGAUGACAGAUUGUUCCACCUGUUGCUUUUUAAUGGGUUUUUGGAACUAUAAACUCAAUUGCUGACUGACUGUGCCCUCAGCCCACCAGUACCCAGCACCUCCUGCCAAGGUCACUGCUUCUGGCAAAUAUAUAUGAAAUUCACUACAAGAACCUUUGGAAAAGUUGAUGUGUAUAUUAUAUUUUUGGCAGCCAACCUGUUUCAUAAUAAAGUUUAUUGUUGAAAGAAAGGUUUAUUUGUACUUCAGUUAUGUCAUCUCUCCCUGAAAACAUUGCAUCUUGUAACCUAGCUCAGUACAACACAGAGAAACAUACAUUAACUUACUUCUUCACCCUUAAAAUUCAGAAGAGAGGACCAACCUAUGGGGACCCAAGCAAAACAGUUGUCUGAGCUCAGAGCGGAUUAUUCUGUUGAAUAAUCUGUCUCCAUCCAUACCCUAACCUCACUGUAACACCCCAAAAGCAGAGCGCCAGAAAGCAUGGCUCCCAUAACAGGCAAAGGAUACAAGGCUAAAGUCAUUUGACUACUAAAGCAGAUAUCAGAGAUUUACAGUAUGAAUUCACAGCACUGAGGACGGAUUUAUUCUCCAAGAUUUCUGCAAUCAAAGAGGAAGUGAGUAUAGAAUUUUUCGGCUGGAUGCUGCAUUGGGAGAAAUAUCAGAGAAGAGAGAAAGCUGCUUCUUCUCUGUGUAAAUUUGCUGGAGCCAAAAGAGAGAAGAAGGGACAUGAGAAUUUAAAAAGUGUCUGAAAAUAUGAAGAAAAUCAUAUUCUCUUUUUACAAACCUUUAUGAAUUAGUUGUUAAAUUUCAUGUCUGUGGAAGAGAUUAAAAUAGAAUACCCCGCUUUAGGCUAGUAGCAGAUCCAGGGAUUUCAUUAUGAGUUUUCGCCAUUACCAAAAAAAGUCUUGAUUAUGAAAAAAGGUGAGAUAGCCCCCAGAGUCUAUACUCCAAGGCCACAAUCUUCAGUUUCUCCUAGAUCUUCUGCUCUAAUUUUUAAAAAGAGUAAAGAGUUGAGUAAAAUUAAAGCCGCAAUUAGAAGGGCAGAGAUUUUCUGUAGCAGAGAAUUUCCAUUCAGCUUCUAGCAUCAGAUUUGUACAGCGAGAGUCUCUAGGGAAGGGAAAACUACACUCUGGAUAGAGAUCCAAAGCUCUAGCAUGCAAAAGUUUGUGGUAGCAGCUGUUGAAGAGCUGGUCAAAAAAUAAUGUCAGACAGUGAAACUGAAGAAAAGGAGAGUGAAAAAAGAAAAGAAGGACCUUCUCUAGUAGAAGUAGAGCCAAGGGACUUAUAUACCUGAAACGUAAUUGAAGAUUAACUAGAAAGGAUUUAAAUGAACUGUUGAACAUUAGCUAUGAUUAUGCUGAAAAGAAAAGAUUGUGCAGUUCAGUUUAAUUGUGGUAAUCAAUUAGCAGUAACUGCUUCCUCCUCUCCCCCCCUCCCCCAGUAAAUUAGUCAUUAAGGGAACAUGCAGUGAAAUGGAAUUUGUAUGGGGAGGCAAGAGAGACGACCCCCCCCCUUAGGGAUGGUAAAGAUAGGAGAAAAUAGAUAGUGGGUGUGUAGGGUCCUAUAGGAAGUUUGUAUAAUUCAUUAUGUAAUUCAAAAUAUCAGAUGAUAGGUUGUUCUCCUGGGGGUGAAUAAUGAGGUCUCGUUGGUGGAGAAUUUACGUCACUUGGACUGCAAGGGACAAGCAGUACAAGUAUUCAUGAAGAACGUAUGGGGGCUUGAUGUUCAGCCAAGUAUAUAAUUCAUUUGGGGACUGAUUUAUAUUUUGACUUUUCAUCUUUGGAUUCAAAAUUAGAAAUAUACAUGAAAUUAUCCAGAGGAGAGAAUUGGGGAGGAAGUGAUGGGCUUGAUUAAAAAAAGGGAAACAACUUGAAAGCUAACAAGCAGAAAUCGUGCCAUAUUCAAAUACAGUUUGACAGUUGUGGGAACAAUAAAUUUAAUCAUGAGAUGUGUAUCAUAGAAAGGUUUGUGUCAGUAAAUGGCCUCUUCAUAGUCAAGUUUAGAACGUUGGUGCUCCAAUUCAACAAGGCACUUAAGCAUUUACCUAGUAGCAGAUAUCUCCACAGGCUGAUGAUGGAACACUAGAUGGGGAGGGCUCAGAGUUACUGCAGAGAAUUCUUUCCCAGGUGUCUGGCUCCUGGGUCUUGGCAGAUGCCUUGCUCAGAGUCUAAGGCCUGGUCUACACUAUGGGGUUAGGUCGAAUUUAGAAGCAUUAGGUUGAUUUAAAAAUGAAUGUAUCCACACAACCAACCCCGUUCCGUCGACCUAAAGGGCUCUUA
Chrysemys picta bellii (western painted turtle) is the source of this 7090-nucleotide non-coding RNA. The record is from RefSeq and is a predicted model, not a curated record. NCBI's taxonomy places the organism in Eukaryota, Metazoa, Chordata, Testudines, Emydidae.